Long non-coding RNA from Etheostoma cragini (Arkansas darter), 187 nucleotides. RefSeq lists it as uncharacterized. The transcript is spliced from 2 exons. NCBI's taxonomy places the organism in Eukaryota, Metazoa, Chordata, Actinopteri, Perciformes, Percidae. The record is from RefSeq and is a predicted model, not a curated record.
AUGUCAUUUUGUUGUAGUUAGGAAAGUAAUGUUUAGAAAGCCUGGUGCCUUUAGUCUCUUCCACAUGGUGGUAUGAAGGUAUAAGGUGGAAGGUAUACAGUUUAUUAUUAAUUCAACAACGGUAUCAGAUCAGUCUCGGGUAUCGACAGAUACACAAAGCCCAGGCAUCAGUAUCGGGACUGAAAAA